GCUGGGCAUGGUGGCGCGUGCCUGUAGUCCCAGCUACUCAGGAGGCUGAGGCAGGAGAAUCGCUUGAACCCAGGAGGCAGAGGUUGCAGUGAGCCGAGAUUGUGCCACUGCACUCCAGCCUGGGCAACAGAGUGAGACUCCGUCUCAA
RNAcentral lists this non-coding RNA (148 nucleotides) under Gorilla gorilla gorilla (western lowland gorilla). The record is from Rfam by way of RNAcentral. Lineage: Eukaryota; Metazoa; Chordata; Mammalia; Primates; Hominidae.